CGAAGAACCUUACCUGGUCUUGACAUCCACAGAACUUUCCAGAGAUGGUUUGGUGCCUUCGGGAACUGUGAGACAGGUGCUGCAUGGCUGUCGUCAGCUCGUGUUGUGAAAUGUUGGGUUAAGUCCCGCAACGAGCGCAACCCUUAUCCUUUGUUGCCAGCGGUCCGGCCGGGAACUCAAAGGAGACUGCCAGUGAUAAACUGGAGGAAGGUGGGGAUGACGUCAAGUCAUCAUGGCCCUUACGACCAGGGCUACACACGUGCUACAAUGGCAUAUACAAAGAGAAGCGACCUCGCGAGAGCAAGCGGACCUCAUAAAGUAUGUCGUAGUCCGGAUUGGAGUCUGCAACUCGACUCCAUGAAGUCGGAAUCGCUAGUAAUCGUAGAUCAGAAUGCUACGGUGAAUACGUUCCCGGGCCUUGUACACACCGCCCGUCACACCAUGGGAGUGGGUUGCAAAAGAAGUAGGUAGCUUAACCUUCGG
RNAcentral lists this ribosomal RNA (483 nucleotides) under Klebsiella pneumoniae. Its description in RNAcentral is "bacterial SSU rRNA". It matches the Rfam family "Bacterial small subunit ribosomal RNA", at positions 962 to 1445 of the family's 1533-position model. Lineage: Bacteria; Pseudomonadati; Pseudomonadota; Gammaproteobacteria; Enterobacterales; Enterobacteriaceae. The record is from RNAcentral.